GACGAACGCUGGCGGCGUGCUUAACACAUGCAAGUCGAACGGAAAGGCCCUGCUUUUGUGGGGUGCUCGAGUGGCGAACGGGUGAGUAACACGUGAGUAACCUGCCCUUGACUUUGGGAUAACUUCAGGAAACUGGGGCUAAUACCGGAUAGGAGCUCCUGCUGCAUGGUGGGGGUUGGAAAGUUUCGGCGGUUGGGGAUGGACUCGCGGCUUAUCAGCUUGUUGGUGGGGUAGUGGCUUACCAAGGCUUUGACGGGUAGCCGGCCUGAGAGGGUGACCGGCCACAUUGGGACUGAGAUACGGCCCAGACUCCUACGGGAGGCAGCAGUGGGGAAUAUUGCACAAUGGGCGGAAGCCUGAUGCAGCAACGCCGCGUGCGGGAUGACGGCCUUCGGGUUGUAAACCGCUUUCGCCUGUGACGAAGCGUGAGUGACGGUAAUGGGUAAAGAAGCACCGGCUAACUACGUGCCAGCAGCCGCGGUGAUACGUAGGGUGCGAGCGUUGUCCGGAUUUAUUGGGCGUAAAGGGCUCGUAGGUGGUUGAUCGCGUCGGAAGUGUAAUCUUGGGGCUUAACCCUGAGCGUGCUUUCGAUACGGGUUGACUUGAGGAAGGUAGGGGAGAAUGGAAUUCCUGGUGGAGCGGUGGAAUGCGCAGAUAUCAGGAGGAACACCAGUGGCGAAGGCGGUUCUCUGGGCCUUUCCUGACGCUGAGGAGCGAAAGCGUGGGGAGCGAACAGGCUUAGAUACCCUGGUAGUCCACGCUGUAAACGGUGGGUACUAGGUGUGGGGUCCAUUCCACGGGUUCCGUGCCGUAGCUAACGCUUUAAGUACCCCGCCUGGGGAGUACGGCCGCAAGGCUAAAACUCAAAGGAAUUGACGGGGCCCCGCACAAGCGGCGGAGCAUGCGGAUUAAUUCGAUGCAACGCGUAGAACCUUACCUGGGUUUGACAUGGAUCGGGAGCGCUCAGAGAUGGGUGUGCCUCUUUUGGGGUCGGUUCACAGGUGGUGCAUGGCUGUCGUCAGCUCGUGUCGUGAGAUGUUGGGUUAAGUCCCGCAACGAGCGCAACCCUUGUUCACUGUUGCCAGCACGUUAUGGUGGGGACUCAGUGGAGACCGCCGGGGCCAACUCGGAGGAAGGUGGGGAUGACGUCAAGUCAUCAUGCCCCUUAUGUCCAGGGCUUCACGCAUGCUACAAUGGCUGGUACAGAGAGUGGCGAGCCUGUGAGGGUGAGCGAAUCUCGGAAAGCCGGUCUCAGUUCGGAUUGGGGUCUGCAACUCGACCUCAUGAAGUCGGAGUCGCUAGUAAUCGCAGAUCAGCAACGCUGCGGUGAAUACGUUCCCGGGGCU
RNAcentral lists this ribosomal RNA (1346 nucleotides) under uncultured bacterium. Its description in RNAcentral is "bacterial SSU rRNA". It matches the Rfam family "Bacterial small subunit ribosomal RNA", at positions 28 to 1381 of the family's 1533-position model. The record is from RNAcentral.